GAUGAACGCUGGCGGCGUGCCUAAUACAUGCAAGUCGAGCGAACAGACGAGGAGCUUGCUCCUCUGACGUUAGCGGCGGACGGGUGAGUAACACGUGGAUAACCUACCUAUAAGACUGGGAUAACUUCGGGACACCGGAGCUAAUACCGGAUAAUCUAUUGAACCGCAUGGUUCAAUAGUGAAAGACGGUUUUGCUGUCACUUAUAGAUGGAUCCGCGCCGCAUUAGCUAGUUGGUAAGUUAACGGCUUACCAAGGCAACGAUGCGUAGCCGACCUGAGAGGGGGAUCGGCCACACUGGAAGUGAGACACGGUCCAGACUCCUACGGGAGGCAGCAGUAGGGAAUCUUCCGCAAUGGGCGAAAGCUUGGCGGAGCAACGCCGCGUGAGUGAUGAAGGUCUUCGGAUCGUAAAGCUCUGUUAUUAGUGAAGAACAAAUGUGUAAGUAACUAUGCACGUCUUGACGGUACCGAAUCAGAAAGCCACGGCUAACUACGUG
Molecule: ribosomal RNA, 497 nt
Filed under: uncultured bacterium
Lineage: Bacteria
Description: partial 16S ribosomal RNA
Rfam family: Bacterial small subunit ribosomal RNA
Source: RNAcentral